UUUCUUUACUUCUUGCCACUGCAAUUUCUCAUUGUCUUAAUUUGUGAUUAUAGUUGUUUAGUUGUUUAGCAUGGUUAAUCCUGAAUUUUAUUUUCUUACAUUCAUCUUGUGAUUUUAAUUUUUACCGUUGCAUUGUUCAGUUUAAUGUUUUCAGUCACUUUAAUAUUUUCAAUUAUGUUUGGUUGUAUUUAAUUUCCAGUUUUACUUUAAUUCAUUCGCAUUCACAAACUUUUCAACAACCCCCCACUUUGUGUCUGACCUAAUUCUCGAACCACAUUUGGUCCUUGAGAGACGACCUAGGAGUCAUUCCUAGCUAUACUGCAUUUCUCAUAUGCAAUCAAAUUUGUAUGGGCCGCGACAGCCUAUCACACCGACACAGUGAGAGUACAUAUUUCAAUUAUAUCAAUACUUAGAAUAAUGCUCGAAUAUUAUCAUCACGCAUUCUAAUUACUCUAACAUAUAUUCCUGUCAAAACCAUAGUAUUUCGUCGUAACCAAAGUCACAUAUAUAUAAAUAAACAGUACUCGCAUCAUAUAAACCUGAUACCCGAAAUCGGUACAUAAUUCAUGCACAUAUACACACGCCAAACCUCAGAAAGUUUCUCAAAUUGUCAAACAUUUUAUUCUCUCUGAUCGGCAUGAAAUUUUAAGACACCUACCCC
Molecule: long non-coding RNA, 661 nt
Filed under: Vigna radiata
Lineage: Eukaryota; Viridiplantae; Streptophyta; Magnoliopsida; Fabales; Fabaceae
Description: long non-coding RNA (VRAD_LNC014080)
Source: RNAcentral